CCGUGCCAGCAGCCGCGGUAAUACGGAGGGUGCGAGCGUUAAUCGGAAUUACUGGGCGUAAAAGCGCAUGCAGGCGGCCUGUUAAGUCAGAUGUGAAAGCCCGGGGCUUAACCUCGGAAUUGCAUUUGAAACUGGCAGGCUAGAGUCUUGUAGAGGGGGUAGAAUUUCAGGUGUAGCGGUGAAAAUGCGUAGAGAUCUGAAGGAAUACCAGUGGCGAAGGCGGCCCCCUGGACAAAGACUGACGCUCAGAUGCGAAAGCGUGGGGAGCAAACAGGAUUAGAUACCCCUGGUAG
Molecule: ribosomal RNA, 293 nt
Filed under: uncultured bacterium
Lineage: Bacteria
Description: partial 16S ribosomal RNA
Rfam family: Bacterial small subunit ribosomal RNA
Source: RNAcentral